This 320-nucleotide ribosomal RNA is filed under the name uncultured Pseudomonadota bacterium. RNAcentral describes it as "bacterial SSU rRNA". It matches the Rfam family "Bacterial small subunit ribosomal RNA", at positions 30 to 351 of the family's 1533-position model. Lineage: Bacteria; Pseudomonadati; Pseudomonadota. The record is from RNAcentral.
AUUGAACGCUGGCGGCAUGCCUAACACAUGCAAGUCGAACGCGAAAGCGGGGCAACCCGCAAGUAGAGUGGCGGACGGGUGAGUAACGCGUAGGAAUCUACCUGGUAGUGUGGGACAACCCGGCGAAAGCCAGGCUAAUACCGCAUACGAUCCAAGGAUGAAAGCAGGGGACCGCAAGGCCUUGCGCUAUCAGAUGAGCCUGCGUCGGAUUAGCUAGUUGGUAGGGUAAAAGCCUACCAAGGCAACGAUCCGUAACUGGUUUGAGAGAACGACCAGUCACACUGGGACUGAGACACGGCCCAGACUCCUACGGGUGGCUG